RNAcentral lists this ribosomal RNA (759 nucleotides) under uncultured bacterium. RNAcentral's name for it is "bacterial SSU rRNA". It matches the Rfam family "Bacterial small subunit ribosomal RNA", at positions 28 to 776 of the family's 1533-position model. The record is from RNAcentral.
GAUGAACGCUAGCUACAGGCUUAACACAUGCAAGUCGAGGGGCAGCAUGGUCUUAGCUUGCUAAGGCCGAUGGCGACCGGCGCACGGGUGAGUAACGCGUAUCCAACCUGCCUUACACUCUUGGACAGCCUUCUGAGAGGGAGAUUAAUACAAGAUGUUAUCAUGAGUAAGCAUUUUCGCAUGAUUAAAGGUUUACCGGUGUAAGAUGGGGAUGCGUUCCAUUAGAUAGUAGGCGGGGUAACGGCCCACCUAGUCUUCGAUGGAUAGGGGUUCUGAGAGGAAGGUCCCCCACAUUGGAACUGAGACACGGUCCAAACUCCUACGGGAGGCAGCAGUGAGGAAUAUUGGUCAAUGGACGAGAGUCUGAACCAGCCAAGUAGCGUGAAGGAUGAAGGUUCUAUGGAUUGUAAACUUCUUUUAUACGGGAAUAAACGGAUCCACGUGUGGAUUUUUGCAUGUACCGUAUGAAUAAGGAUCGGCUAACUCCGUGCCAGCAGCCGCGGUAAUACGGAGGAUCCGAGCGUUAUCCGGAUUUAUUGGGUUUAAAGGGAGCGUAGAUGGGUUGUUAAGUCAGUUGUGAAAGUUUGCGGCUCAACCGUAAAAUUGCAAUUGAUACUGGCAGUCUUGAGUACAGUUGAGGUAGGCGGAAUUCGUGGUGUAGCGGUGAAAUGCUUAGAUAUCACGAAGAACUCCGAUUGCGAAGGCAGCUUACUAACCUGUAACUGACAUUGAUGCUCGAAAGUGUGGGUAUCAAACAGG